UCCCUGUUACCAGGGCAGUCUAGCUAGAGAAAUUCAACUAACUAUAAGGGUUGCGCUCGUUGAUGGACUUAACCAUACAUCUCACGACACGAGCUGACGACGGCCAUGCAACACCUGUCACCACGGUCCGAAGACACAUUUUCCUUUCGGAAAACUUAGUGGGAUGUCAAACCUGGGUAAGGUUCUUCGCUUAUCAUCGAAUUAAACAACACGCUCCACCGCUUGUGCGGGUCCCCGUCAAUUCCUUUAUGUUUUAAGCUUGCGCUCGUACUCCACAGGCGGGAUGCUUAACGCGUUAGCUUCGCUACUACGCGGGUCGAUACGCAUAACAGCUAGCAUCCAUCGUUUACAGCGUAGACUAC
Molecule: unclassified non-coding RNA, 362 nt
Filed under: uncultured bacterium
Lineage: Bacteria
Description: contains 16S-23S intergenic spacer region
Source: RNAcentral